Molecule: ribosomal RNA, 251 nt
Filed under: uncultured microorganism
Description: partial 16S ribosomal RNA
Rfam family: Archaeal small subunit ribosomal RNA
Source: RNAcentral
GCGCAGCAGGCGCGAAAACCUCCGCAAUACACGAAAGUGUGACGGGGCCAUCCCGAGUGCCGUCCGCUGAGGACGGCUUUUCCCCAGUGUACAUAGCUGGGGGAAAUAAGGAGAGGGCAAGCCUGGUGUCAGCCGCCGCGGUAAUACCAGCUCUCCGAGUGGUGGGGACGCUUAUUGGGCCUAAAGCAUCCGUAGCCGGCUGGGCAAGUCCUCCGUUAAAUCCAACGAUUCAAUCGUUGGGCUGCGGGGGA